This 564-nucleotide ribosomal RNA is filed under the name Monosporozyma servazzii. Its description in RNAcentral is "Kazachstania servazzii partial large subunit ribosomal RNA". It matches the Rfam family "Eukaryotic large subunit ribosomal RNA", at positions 78 to 657 of the family's 3401-position model. Lineage: Eukaryota; Fungi; Ascomycota; Saccharomycetes; Saccharomycetales; Saccharomycetaceae. The record is from RNAcentral.
CCUUAGUACGGCGAGUGAAGCGGCAAAAGCUCAAAUUUGAAAUCUAGUACCUUCGGUGCUCGAGUUGUAAUUUGUAGAGGGAUACUUUGGGGCCGUUCCUUGUCUAUGUUCCUUGGAACAGGACGUCAUAGAGGGUGAGAAUCCCGUGUGGCGAGGAGUGCGGUUCUAUGUAAAGUGCCUUCGAAGAGUCGAGUUGUUUGGGAAUGCAGCUCUAAGUGGGUGGUAAAUUCCAUCUAAAGCUAAAUAUUGGCGAGAGACCGAUAGCGAACAAGUACAGUGAUGGAAAGAUGAAAAGAACUUUGAAAAGAGAGUGAAAAAGUACGUGAAAUUGUUGAAAGGGAAGGGCAUUUGAUCAGACAUGGUGUUUUGCGCCCUCUGCUCCUUGUGGGUGGGGGACUCUCGCAGCUCACUGGGCCAACAUCAGUUUUGGUGGUCGGACAAAUCCGUAGGAAUGUAGCUUACCUCGGUAAGUGUUAUAGCCUGCGGGAAUACGGCCAGCCGGGACUGAGGACUGCGACUUUUGUCAAGGAUGUUGGCAUAAUGGUUAUAUGCCGCCCGUCUUGA